UGCAAGUUUAAAAAAUGUUUAUUUCCGGUGUGAUUCAGUUCUAGAAACAUAAGAAAGUGUACAUUUUCAUUUAUUUUCUGUCGUCAAUUUUAGCCACGGUAACGUGUAAGCGAUUGUUGAAAAUUAAUUUUACUUUAUGUUCGUUCGGAGCCGGUCGUAAACCGCGUUCUAAUUGCGUACGAUCUCCUUUUGGAGAGGUUUCACGAGGUGCUUCGUCAUAGAUAGUGGAAGGUUUGCGCGGCCGGCGACUGCGGAGCCGUGUUUUCCUGGUGCCAGCUUCAGUGAAGCCAGGAUCAACGAUUCAUCCAGUCUGUCAGCUCUCGUCCAGUGGGGCGUUACCGUUUUAUAUGACUUUAGCAAGAUAUAUAGAGACAUCAGUACAGUGCGAGGAGAGCGGUCGGUGCGGCGCGACGAGGAGAGCGGCCGGCUGCCGUCGAGCGUGCAUGACUCACACAACACUUAGCACUACUGCUCGCAGGUACAGUUACUGUCCGACCCGCGUCUGGGACUAU
Cydia splendana is the source of this 512-nucleotide long non-coding RNA. RefSeq lists it as uncharacterized. The transcript is spliced from 3 exons. NCBI's taxonomy places the organism in Eukaryota, Metazoa, Arthropoda, Insecta, Lepidoptera, Tortricidae. The record is from RefSeq and is a predicted model, not a curated record.